UGACUGCCCAACAAUCAGUUCUUGGUGAAAAUGAAAGUGAAUUGAAUAUCCCAGAAGUUCUUCUCCACACUUAAGAGGAAUAAAGUUAUUCCUUCCAAUUGCCCCACAACACUUUAUGUAACUUGGAUCUGAGGAUCUCAUUGACCAAAGAAAGUUUGAAGUUCUUGCCUACAAUUGGUUAGAUGGAUGCUGAGGGCUCUUCCAACUAUCACCACUCUAACACAAGGGAGCAUUGAAGCAGCCUUUCAGCAGAGGAAGCAACCUCGACCUAUUUGUUAUUUGAGGACUGCCUGUAUAUGCAGA
Phascolarctos cinereus (koala) is the source of this 303-nucleotide non-coding RNA. NCBI's taxonomy places the organism in Eukaryota, Metazoa, Chordata, Mammalia, Diprotodontia, Phascolarctidae. The record is from RefSeq and is a predicted model, not a curated record.